Molecule: ribosomal RNA, 505 nt
Filed under: uncultured bacterium
Lineage: Bacteria
Description: partial 16S ribosomal RNA
Rfam family: Bacterial small subunit ribosomal RNA
Source: RNAcentral
GACGAACGCUGGCGGCGUGCCUAAUACAUGCAAGUCGAACGCACAGUUUAUACCUUAGCUUGCUACACCAUAGACUGUGAGUUGCGAACGGGUGAGUAACGCGUAGGUAACCUGCCUGGUAGCGGGGGAUAACUAUUGGAAACGAUAGCUAAUACCGCAUAAUAUUAAUUAUUGCAUGAUAAUUAAUUGAAAGGUGCAAUUGCACCACUACCAGAUGGACCUGCGUUGUAUUAGCUAGUAGGUGAGGUAACGGCUCACCUAGGCGACGAUACAUAGCCGACCGGAGAGGGGGGUCGGCGACACUGGGAGUGCGGAACGGCGCCGCAGACUCCGGGGGGCGGCAGUAGGGGGUCAUCGGGAAUGGUGGGAAGACUGCCCGUGCAACGCCGCGGGGUGGAAGAAGGUGGUCGGAGCGUAGAGAUCUGUUGUAAGAGGAGAACGGGUGUGAGCGCUGAAAGUUCACAUUGUGACGGGAUCUUAUCAGAAAGCGACGGCUAACUACGUG